AUUGGAUUGAGAACAAUGUACAACUCUUAUCGAUAAGCCAUUGGAGGGCAAGUCUGGUGCCAGCAGCCGCGGUAAUUCCAGCUCCAAUAGCGUAUAUUAACGUUGUUGCAGUUAAAAAGCUCGUAGUUGAAGUGUGGGUGAUCGCUGUUGUGAGACUUCGGUCUCUCGACAGUAAGUCACCCCCUUCCAGUAUCCAGUAGUGGGUAUUCAGUUACUUACUAUUGUGUGUUGGUCCUUUACUGUGAGAAAAUUAGAGUGUUCAAAGCAGGCGUUUGCUUGAAUAGAUUAGCAUGGAAUAAUAAUUGAAGGCUUUCGUGUUCGAUUUGAUUGGUUUGUUCAUGGAAGCAAGGUUAAAAGGAACAGUUGGGGGUAUUCAUAUUCACUAGUUAGAGGUGAAAUUCUCGGAUUUAUGGAAGAUGAACAAGUGCGAAAGCAA
This 436-nucleotide ribosomal RNA is filed under the name Blastocystis sp. RNAcentral's name for it is "SSU rRNA". It matches the Rfam family "Eukaryotic small subunit ribosomal RNA", at positions 508 to 954 of the family's 1831-position model. The record is from RNAcentral. Lineage: Eukaryota; Bigyra; Opalinata; Blastocystidae.